AGAAGGAUAGAUAUUUGAUAUUUUCAGCCCGAGGAGGGUUAGUUUUCUAGUUACCCGACAUUUGCUUGUCGGGUAACCAUAGCAACAAAAUAAGAUGUUGAACAUAAAUAAAAAUUUGUCUUUCUAUUUCCCGUGCCAUCGGAAUUUUCUUGAAUCCGACAUCUUCUUGAAUUGGACGGACUCGUAUUUUCCGUCGUUAUUUAGUAAAAGUGAAUUGUUUUUAUUUCUGAAUUAUGUUCAGACAGAUUUACACAUCUCCCAGACUGGCACAAGUAAGCAGAUACACAAUAACGCUACUCGUACAUAUUUAGUUCUGAAAUUAAUGUGUAUAUGAAAGAUUCAAAAAGUAGAGGUCUAAAUAUCUUUUAAAUUUUAGAAACACAACUACCUAUAUUUUUCUUAACUGUAAUGAAGGUAUAAUAAAAAUUAAACCGAUUUUGAUGGAAAUCGAUCUGCCAAAAAUAUAAUUCCAUCCAGAAAAAUUAGUCCACUCGAUCUUCAGGAGAUUAAUACAUUUUGGUCCGUUGCAGAAACAAAACUUGAAAUUUAUUAGAUGGGAAAAGUUGGUUUAGACGUUUGAUUUAUUGAAUCCGGUUUGCAUAUCUUUUCAUAUCUAAUGAAAACCUUGUCCUCAUCAAAAUUUCAGAAGGACGGAAUGGACAAUUUAUCGAGUUCCGGAACCAAGGAAACAUCCCGACUUAUUUUUGUUUUCGGUCCGGAGCUACAUACAUAUAUAUUUAUGUACAAACAUUUCAUGUAGGCUGAGCUCACGCCGUGGUGCAAAUUUCCCGCAAGAAAUCCUACACCAAGUAACACCUGCUUUAUUGUCAUCAUGUCGUCUAGGUUAAAAUACUUAAAGUUCCUUCACGUCGUCAAUUUUUAAACUUUAAAAUAUGUACAUACAUUAAGUAGUACACAUUUGAAACUACGCAUAAGGUUAUCGCACCACUUGCCAAAAAUUUCGUACUUAUGCACAAGGUUUCGUACCUCAUAUAAUGUCAAUACGCUUAAAUAUGUAAUUUAACUACUCAUCUUGCGAUAAGAUUCUUGUCACGAAAGGUUUGUUGUUCGUUGUGAACAUUCCGUUGGAGGGCUUUGACCCGAGAUCUAAAUAAGAAUGCGAUGGUGUGAAGUGUAACGCUCAGAUUUAGGUAAAAUUAUGGAAUUAUGUAAUUUAAGUCAAAGCAACUAACGUUUCUUAUUGAGAUAGUUUGUAGGAUGGUUGAAAUUCGUCAAAAUAUUUGAGGUCAAAGUUGAAAAUGGGCGAUUUUUAGCACGGAUAGAGAAUUGAAGUUGAGUUUGCAUGCUCCGCCUGCUAAAAACUAGUUUUCCAACUUUGACCUCAAGUAUUUUGACGAAUUACAACCAUCGCGCAAACUGCCUCAAGAAACGAUGCUCGUAUUCGUCUGGACCCCAUGAUUUUAAAAUUUCAACCAAAUCAUCGGAGGGUUACACUUCACACCAUCGCAUUGUCCGCAUAAUCACAUGUUAGGUGGAUGUAUGUAUACAUAUAAUGCCGACUAAACAUCGCUUGACAGACUACACUGUCUAAAAUAAGUGAGUGUACGGUGGCCUAUGCCAAAAUUUAAAUAAGUUUACUUUUUCCACACUUCAUUGAUAGCUACACUCAAAAUAAGGUAGUAAUGAAUCAUUACCAUGCGGAAUGACUAUGUGGCUCUACCACGUCGGUUACGAUUUGUCAUAGAAGUGGUAAUAAUAAGUUCAGGGAAAUUCAAAUUCAUUACCAGAUAUUAAGGAAGUGAAUACCAUUAUGUAUUAAAUUUGAAUUUCCUCGAACUAAUUAUUACCAUCUCUACGACAAAUCGUAACCGACGUGGUAUAGCCACAUAGUCAUUCCGCCUGGUAAUGAUUCAUUAGUACCUUAUUUUGAGUGUAGUGUAUGUAUCCUACAUAUUUCCGUUCUUAUAUUUAAAUUCACCCAGUGUUCAUUGUACGUAACACUGGGUGUCGUCACAAUCAUCAUGGAGCUACGGUACAGUCUAGAAUAUGUACCAGGAUAGAUUUCCUUUUUGAAUUUGAUUUCCUUUGGUAGGAAACCUGGUCUUGAAUUUUUCGUGUUGUAGAAAGAUAUCUUUGACAUUCUUGUCUGUUUUUGAACCUUGGCUGCAAAAUCUGGGGGCAGUUCCUUCAGCAAGUAUUUAGUCAUGCCUGGGUCCAACCCUUCUAUGAGGGGUAGAACGGUAUAUGCAAAUCUAAUUUAAAGCUGGCCAAAAUUGUGCAAAAGUGUGGGUUCGUACAUAUUUAUAUUGGAUAGUUUUCCCCUUAAUUCAAACCAUGACUUUACGCUAUCUCGUAGAAUUUUUUUUAUCGACGGACAGUAAAUUCCUAAAAAGCCCAAAUACAUAAGUCUUAUCUGUAAGUUUAAUAAGAUAGUUAUAUUUUCGUAACAUCUACCUUGCCAACUUUGUCGUUGAUUUUCUUAAAUGUACAUAUCUAGGUAAUUUUGCGUCCCAACUUUCUGUAAUAUCCACUGUUUUUGUAAUUAAUAGUGGAUACCCAGCAAAUUGAAAAUUUACAUGUUAAUGAAAUGUAUAACUUAAAAAUUGGACCUUAUAAACAUCUUAAACUCCCUUAAAAAUUUUAACUACAAUUAAUUUCGGAUAAAAUCAGUCUGUAAAUUCCUUUGCAUAAAGAUAACACCGUAGUUUAUUCAGAUCUAGGCUUAAGGCCCGUUUCUCACAUACACUGUAAUUUACUUCGUGUAUAUUGAACAAACGGCUUGCAUAACAGAUAACAAAUAGUUGUCCGUUUUCAUGUCGGCACAUUUCCAAAAAGAGUAUCGCAUGCAAAACCUUCCUGGUUUGGAACAUUUAUCGCGUCCCUGCGACGACAACCCUUCGUAUUAAGAGGACAGAAAAGUCCCGGAUUCACUUUUCGUCAUUUAGUUUUAAAUCCUUAAUUACUACAUCGUUACAUGUGCUUGGGCGACGUGUUUUACUAUAUGUAUUCCAUUGUAUGCUUUUAUUAUUAUAACUACAUAUUAUCUGGAAUUACGUGGCUAUGAAAUAGUGAAGGCACAUUUAAGUAAAAUCGUCACUUGUGUGAUCUAACUUAAUCAUCUGAUUACGACAAUUAUGCAGCAAAUUUAUUUUCGAUCCUCACUGCAUACAUAUGUCCAAAUGCUGCCAACUAUGUAGAUUUGAGAUGAGGUGUACACUCUCAGCAAAAUUGCCACUUAAAUCGUCUCCUCGUGUAGGUACUAUGUGCGUCUACCGUAGGGUAAUAAUUUACCUCCCUCCGUUGAAAAGUGUGUUUUGUCUCCCGAGCGGAGGUAAAUAUUAUUGUCACCUGUCGAGAUACAAUUUGUUACUGCGGAUUACAAAACGUAUUCAAUAUGAUGGUAAGUUGUGUCUCUGAGUGGAAAUAAUUUACCUACUAGUAGUGAUGAAUUAUCUCCGUCUCCGUCACAUAUUUGUCUCCUUGCGGUGAUAGUUUAUGACUCUGAGGAAGCAAAUAUGGAUACAAUUUCAUGACAAUUUAUUUAUUUAUUUAACUGAGCUUUUAUUAGAAACUAAAUUUUCUCACAUGUUUCUACAUAUUACAAAAACAAAGAUAUAAGAAUUAAAUUAUGUACAUGUUUAUAUAUAUUACUUAUCAUACAAUUAUAUUGGUUCUUAGAUAAUAAGAAUAAGAUAAGAUUAAUUUCUAGCGCAUUCGGAAAUAUGUAUGUCUUUACAAAUGGUGUCUUGUCGUUACAAACAAACCGUCAACUUUGCAAUUUUUUUGAAUCUCCAUGCAAUCGUGUAUGACUAAAUCUUCAACAUCAACCAAAAUUACAUGUUCGCCCAUUAGGACCUUAUAAGCAAAGAAAUGAGAAACAAAAUAUUCGACUGUCAUCUCUUUGAGUAUGAAUAGGCACUUAUUAUCGUGAAUAACAAGAAAUUCCGAAAUAAUCCCAAAUUUAGGAAAUAUUGGACCCAUUCCAAAACACACUACAUAAUUUGAUCGAUAAGAAUAUCCUUUAUAUUUGAUUUUGCUAGUACAAUACACAAAAGUAUCCGCCGAGCAAAAUUCAAACCCCUUAAUUAAUCUUAAGCACUCAAUAAUAUCAAAAGAAUCUGCGAGUUCUGAUAAACAAACCUUUAUCACAUUAUCUAUUUCAAGUCCAUCGUGAAGGUCAAUAUUUUUAAACAUAUGGGAACUGUAUUGUUGGUGCCGCAUGGCAAGAGAUGAACAAAUAUUAAUGAAGUUUCUAUUACGGUUGGCUAACUGCGAAAAAUAGUAAUGCUUCCCCUCAAAUCGCAUCGUCCAUAGAGAAAUAAGGGGACCACUCUGUCGAAUUAUGUAAGGGUAAUGACACAUAAAGUGGUGUUUUGGUAUCAGUCUAGUUUCUGGAAAAAGUUCUUUGAAUAAUUUGUGAUGCUUGACUAUGCUGGCUUUUAGACAUUCAAUUGUUGUGUCAGAAAAUUUUCUGCAGAAGGCGCAACUCAUACAAGUCAGCAACGCAAUUAAUAAUUUCCAAUAUUUUUUUUUCUCCUCAGUUUCAAUCAAAUCGCCGAUAAUUACAGGCAAAAAUCUGAUAAGGCACCAUGCUUGAGCCGCUUUUUCUUAGUGAGGCAAAUACCUAACAACGAAAAAAAUUACUAAGUAUGCAUUUGACCCACCCCAAAAAAGUGACCAUCUGCGAUUUCUCAGUCAUUUCUCAACCGAUUUUGAUCAAAUUUUGCACCGAUUAUUGUUACAUAAUAUAGAAAUGGGAUCUGAUCCGACUAAGCGAUUACGUGAUCUUGACCGGAAUUAUGGGCAAAAAUGUAGCCUUAGAAACACAUUUGUAAUUAUUGCUAGUUACUAGCAAACGUUAUCAACAGUUUGAUACCCACGAAUUGUAAGGCAGUUUAUCCCGAAAAUUUUAAGUAUGAAUAUAUCAAAAUCCGUUAAGAAUUGGCUUAGUUAUUCCAAUUUGAAGUUCAGAAAUUCCUGCUCGUGCUACAAAUCAUUGCCAUUGACAACGACGCAAGACUAAUAAAUUGAAAACAAAUUACAUUCAAAACUGUAAACAGCACAACUAAUCGCUUCUGUAACAUGCUUGGUAAGUUGCGUGAAAUUGUUGUUGUUGGUGUUGCACCUCCAGAUCAGGUCUUUUGGUGUUUAGUAAUCUAGGCCGGACAUUUUGACCAAAAUGAUAUAAAUCGGUUAAGAAAUAACGGAUUUAUUCAAUUUUAAACACCCAGCAUUUAAUAAAAUUAUUCCGCAUCAAACUACUGAAAAGGGGUAGUGCAAUGCAGUCAUCCAAUGGACAAUCUAAUUACCCAAUUAAAAAUUAUAAAUAAACAAGGUCCCUAAAAAGGGGAAAUCUUAGUGAGGGAGUGCAAUCACAACGAAUAAAUAAAAUUAGAUUGGAGAAUUUUUGCAUCACCACUCUCGGUACCAUUUUUACUGGAAGCAUUAAUCCUUUAAAUAGAACACUUGCUCCCUCGAAAGGUUCGAUGAUUUUGCAUAGAGUAGCCAAAUUAAUAUAUGAAAUUGAAAUUUGUAUAUUUUUUUAAACAAAUACGUAGCUCAUAAUUAUUUGGUCAUUAAAUCUUACAUAUCUACCUCAGUUAAUUUAACCCACUUCUCGUUCACUACACAGUAAAAAUGUAUUCCUUCCUCAAUUUAUUCAAUAAAACUAAGAAUUCAUGCGUAUGCAAAGAAAAAUUUAUACUGCAUCCAGUAAGAAUGGAACCGAGAGCGGUGAUGCAAAAAUUCUCCAAUCUAAUUUUAUUUAUUAGUUGUGAUUGCACUCCCUCACUAAGAUUUCCCCUUUUUAGGGACCUUGUUUAUUGUCCAAUCCGAUGACCUUGACCAUCUAAUUUCAUAGGACUUGGCUUAUUCUUGGACUCCAAAAACCCAUAAUCAUGCACCAUUAACCUAUCAUUAAUAAUAUUUAAGCUUAUACCCCCUAAACUUAUCAGCCUCUGCAGCACUAAUUUAAGCUCAAAAGGAACCACCCCUUCUAAAAUAUCAUGCAUAAUAUCCACCGAUGGAGAAUUGACAAAAGAAUAAAAAUUAAGAUCAUCGAGUGGACAGCUGCCUACAACGCCAUGUGACAAGUGAUUUAAAUGGUCCCGUAAAUUUUCCCUAUUUCUUAACAAAAAUUCCGAAUGAUCAAAUUUUUCUUGAGCAUCAGGUUUUGAAACACAACAAAUUCUACAAUAAUAAUUCGCACUGAAGGAUUCCAUAAAA
Molecule: long non-coding RNA, 6186 nt
Organism: Folsomia candida
Lineage: Eukaryota; Metazoa; Arthropoda; Collembola; Entomobryomorpha; Isotomidae
Exons: 3
Source: RefSeq, a predicted model, not a curated record